GAAUGUGAGGGCAAUCUGGCUACAACAUCUGUCACCCAUUGACUUCCAGGGUUAAUUCGGCUGAUCUGGCUCACUAGGCAGGUGUCCACUUCCUCCUCUACCACUCCAUGUGUGUCCCUCCCAAAGCUGUGUGCUCAGCUGAAAAGGACAACCACCCCCGAUAGAAGACUGUUUCUUUAGUUAAGGGUAUUCAAGUAGCUGUACACCCCUGCUAGAACCUCCAAACAAGCUCUCAUGAACAAGGGGGUCUGCAUUUUACACAGGGUGUUUAAAAACUGUCUCAUGAAAAAGAUGAUGUCAGAGUAU
RNAcentral lists this small nuclear RNA (306 nucleotides) under Octodon degus (degu). RNAcentral describes it as "7SK RNA (ENSODEG00000024807.1)". It matches the Rfam family "7SK RNA". From Rfam's summary of the family: 7SK was discovered as an abundant small nuclear RNA in the mid-70s but a possible function has only recently been suggested. Two independent studies have found that 7SK RNA binds the CDK9/cyclin T complex (known as elongation factor P-TEFb). Lineage: Eukaryota; Metazoa; Chordata; Mammalia; Rodentia; Octodontidae. The record is from Rfam by way of RNAcentral.